RNAcentral lists this ribosomal RNA (253 nucleotides) under uncultured bacterium. RNAcentral's name for it is "partial 16S ribosomal RNA". It matches the Rfam family "Bacterial small subunit ribosomal RNA", at positions 524 to 776 of the family's 1533-position model. The record is from RNAcentral.
UACGGGGGGGGCAAGCGUUGUUCGGAAUUACUGGGCGUAAAGGGCUCGUAGGCGGCCAACUAAGUCGGAUGUGAAAUCCCCAGGCUUAACCUGGGAACUGCAUCCGAUACUGGAUGGCUUGAAUCCGGGAGAGGGAUGCAGAAUUCCAGGUGUAGCGGUGAAAUGCGUAGAUAUCUGGAGGAACACCGGUGGCGAAGGCGGCAUCCUGGACCGAUACUGACGCUGAGGAGCGAAAGCCAGGGGAGCAAACGGG